CCCUUAGAUGUUCUGGGCCGCACGCGUGCUACACUGAGUGGAUCAGCGGGUCAGGUUGCGCGAAAGCGUUUCCUAAUCUUUAAAUCCGCUCGUGAUGGGGAUUGACGGUUGCAAUUUUCUGUCAUGAACGAGGAAUACCUUGUAAGCGCGGGUCAUCAUCCCGCGCUGAAUACGUCCCUGCCCUUUGUACACACCGCCCGUCGCACCUACCGAUUGAAUGUUUCGGUGAAGAUUCCGGAUAGGACUUUUUUGAUUUAUUUCAAUUCUGUCUUAAAAGCUAUCUAAACCUCAACAUUUAGAGGAAGGUGAAGUCGUAACA
Molecule: ribosomal RNA, 319 nt
Filed under: uncultured eukaryote
Lineage: Eukaryota
Description: partial 18S ribosomal RNA
Rfam family: Eukaryotic small subunit ribosomal RNA
Source: RNAcentral